AGAGUUUGAUUCUGGCUCAGGAUGAACGCUAGCGGCAGGCCUAAUACAUGCAAGUCGAACGGGAUUGCCUCCUUCGGGAGGCAUGAGAGUGGCGCACGGGUGCGCAACGCGUAUGCAACCAACCCCCGACAGGCGGAUAGCCGGUGGAAACGCCGGAUAAUACGCCAUGGUUCCGUGGGAGGGCAUCCUCCUGGGGAUAAAGCCGAGAGGCGGUCGGGGACGGGCAUGCGUCCCAUUAGAUGGUAGGCGGGGUGACGGCCCACCUAGUCCGCGAUGGGUAGGGGAUCUGAGAGGACGGUCCCCCACACUGGUACUGAGACACGGACCAGACUCCUGCGGGAGGCAGCAGUAAGGGAUAUUGGUCAAUGGGGGCAACCCUGAACCAGCCAUGCCGCGUGAGGGAAUGAGGCCCUACGGGUCGUGAACCUCUUUUAUUCGGGGACAAGGACGCGGUCGCGAACCGUGUUUGAGGGUACCGAAAGAAUAAGCAUCGGCUAACUCCGUGCCAGCAGCGGC
This 516-nucleotide ribosomal RNA is filed under the name uncultured bacterium. Its description in RNAcentral is "bacterial SSU rRNA". It matches the Rfam family "Bacterial small subunit ribosomal RNA", at positions 8 to 518 of the family's 1533-position model. The record is from RNAcentral.